Molecule: long non-coding RNA, 150 nt
Organism: Lampris incognitus (smalleye Pacific opah)
Lineage: Eukaryota; Metazoa; Chordata; Actinopteri; Lampriformes; Lampridae
Exons: 3
Source: RefSeq, a predicted model, not a curated record
CGCUAAUGUGGGAAACAGGACAGAGAUGUGAAAAGAGCUUGGCCUUCAUUGUCUAUUGGACCUACGGGGACCGGCAGCGGGAGAGGACAGGAACGGCCCUUGUGUGAAGUUGUCCCAUGUUGAUGAGGUAUAUGCAUCACAGAUGGUGAC